This is a non-coding RNA of Triticum urartu, 2266 nucleotides long. The record is from RefSeq and is a predicted model, not a curated record. NCBI's taxonomy places the organism in Eukaryota, Viridiplantae, Streptophyta, Magnoliopsida, Poales, Poaceae.
CACCUUGCCGCAUUUGCCCGUGUCCGCCGCUGCCGACCGCAACAAGCGCCUCCACGUGCGGGCGGCUCGCGCCCGUGCCUCCCUGCCGCCCCGCGCCGCCGCCCACCGGAGCUCCGCUGCCGGACCAACGCGCCGCCAUGCCCUCCUCUCCUUCUUCCUUCCCCUCCCUCUUGUUCUAUUUCUCACAUCCCCCUCUCUCUCUCUCCUUCGCAGGAAGCGGAAGCCAUGGCCCUGGUCCUCCAUGCCAGACCGCCGCCCCGCGCUGGCCGGCCAUCAGAGCGCCGCCGCCGGACCAACGCGCCGCCCUGCCCUCCUCUCCUUCUUCCCUCCCUUCUUCUGGUUCUAUUUCUCACAUCCCUCUCUCCCUCUCCCCCUUCACAGGAAGCGGAAGCCAUGGUCGUUGGAUCUCCAUGCCGGACGGCCACCCCACGCCGGCCGGCCACCGGAGCGCCGCCUCCGGAGCAACGCGGGUUGCCGCGCUGGACCGCAAGCGGAUGCACUAGUUGUGCUCGACGGAGAUGGGCCCUGUGUGCGUGCCCCCGCAGCCUGGACGAAACUCCGGCGAGGCCAUGAGCUCCCGAGCCCCAACCCGGGUGUAGGAGCGUACGGGAGCGUCGUCGUGGAUCCUGCGCGUCCUAGGUCCGCCGAGGCCACGGGCUCCCAAGCCGGGCAUAGGUGCGUACUGGAGCAACGCCCGCCUGGGCGAGGUCCUCCUGCUUCUGGAGGAGGCGAACAAGCCGAACCAAGCCAUGAGGCGCCCGUGGCCAACACAGUCUAUUAAACCUUCGAUAUGCUGGAGGGUGAUGAGGUGACAUGGAGCUAAACAUAGAUUGAAGAUUCUGUCAUGGGUUCCUCAGAGAAGAUAGAACAAAUGUGUAUGGAGAUCCAGCUGUUGAAGACGCCGAGGGACAAGAACAUUCAGGAGUUGUUCGCCUAAUGGGUUGGUGAGAACAAGAAUACAGUUAACAUCAUCACAGAGCCCUGCACAUCUCGCAUGCGAGGCAGUUCUGUAGGAAGCACAAGAAAGUGGGUAUGAAAGCUAUGAGAUGAUGGCCAAUGCAGAUAUUGACAGGACUGGAAUAUCAUUAGAGUCCGGCGCCAACGAAUAUACAUAGCGACUUCAAGUGUGACAAUAUAUUCAUAAAUAGUCCUGAUGGAACAGUGAAGAUCGGCAACUAUAUGGUCUGGCGACAUUAUUGCAUCAAUGGAAAAAGCAAAGUGUCAAAGGCGCAUUAGACUUUACGGCACCAGAACGCUUCACUGGCAAUACAAUGAGUUGCUUGGGUAUUCCAAUCCCCUUGCUGAACCCUGUGCUAUUCGCAGCCUCUUUUGUCAAUCCAGCAGCACACCGCUGCCCUUCGCAUCCUCCCUGCAUCACUGCAACUGGGCCGUCCUCACAUCGUCUGCGGUCACAUGCGCAAUCUCUGCGCUCGACGCUGCCUCCACCGAGAUUCAUUGCAAGGGUGCCUGAAACGCCCACUGUUGGGUACAUGCAUACAACAAUUAUGCCAUGUCUUCCCUAUUCGAUCGGUCGCACAGAUUUGUUUGUGCCAUUGCCGAUCAUGUACUUCUUUCUGUGCUUGGAAGCAUAGUCUCAUCGUAUCCCCUAGAUCUGUAUAAGUAUAUUUAGCUCACAUACACUUGGCAUUUGUUCUUCAAAAGGCGAUGUCCUCGAUGCUGGACUCCUGCUGCGUUAAACUUUUUGCUCUUCGAAAGCAACUAUCUCCUGUAGAUGAAAGACUUCCUGCAAGUGAGCUCUUGAAUAACUCUUACCUCCAGGAAGAUGAGGUCUAUUCCAGCGCCUUCAAUUUCAGUCUCUCUGGUCUCAAGUGUGACUGAAGAUGGGUGGCAAUCUGCAAGUUUCGUGCUUUGGAAGGGUGAAUUCUUACUGAAAAACCAUAUGUAUCUUACCGACCAUAUUAAUUUAUUGCUAAGGUUUCCUCAUACCACUGGCUGUUUAAAGAAUGUUGAGUUGUCAAGCGAGGUGCUGCAGUGGCUGGCGUUGCCGGGCAUAGGACGACGUCUCUAGGCUCCUGCCUGAGGCAAGCCUCUCCAGCCUCCUCGGAUGCCCUCUAGGAACUGGCACUGCGUAUGAUGGUCUCCUCACCUAGCACCUAGGUUGACCUAGCCACCGCCAUCGAAGCGGAGAGUUGACAACAUAUGUAUGAUUGUUGGACGUGUCAGUCCUGCCAUUGACAUGUUCAAAACUAUGAAUUGAGUGAUUACAAAUAUGCUUUGAUCAAUGAAAUGAAAGGAUGUUCUGUUA